Molecule: transfer RNA, 90 nt
Filed under: Flavobacteriales bacterium
Lineage: Bacteria; Pseudomonadati; Bacteroidota; Flavobacteriia; Flavobacteriales
Description: tRNA-Ser
Rfam family: tRNA
About the family: Transfer RNA (tRNA) molecules are approximately 80 nucleotides in length. Their secondary structure includes four short double-helical elements and three loops (D, anti-codon, and T loops).
Source: RNAcentral
GGAGAGGUGGCUGAGUGGCUGAAAGCGGCACCCUGCUAAGGUGUUAUACCCGCAAGGGUAUCGGGGGUUCGAAUCCCCCUCUCUCCGCAA